RNAcentral lists this small RNA (3862 nucleotides) under Pongo abelii (Sumatran orangutan). Its description in RNAcentral is "retained intron". The record is from RNAcentral. Lineage: Eukaryota; Metazoa; Chordata; Mammalia; Primates; Hominidae.
GGAAGACUUCCUCAAGGCAGGAAAUGGCAGACCUAAAGCUCAGAUUCUGUUCUCCUGACUCCAAGCCCAGUGCUUUCACCCCCUUGGCUUCGUAGUGCGUCCUUGAGAUCAGCGCUUACGGAGGUCUCAACCUCUCCGGGUAUUUACGAGUUAAGGGGGCGGGUCACAAGCUCCCCGCCCUCUCCCUGGAGAGUCAGCCCAGCCCCAGGAAGCUGAUUGGUGCAGGGAGACCACCUGUCAGGCUGGGAGGCGGGGCCUACAGCCAGGCUGCCGACUCAGGUAAGCCUUAAAGGGGACAAAUAUGAUUCCACGUUUAAGAACGAAAGAGUAGGGUGAUAUAUUUGUUAAAACUCAGAUCAGGAUUCUGUGGCCCAAGGAGGAGUUUUAGUUUUGCCUUCUGAUUAGGGAUCUGAUGAAUGUAAAAAGUCAUACAGAGCUAAUUAUGAUAAUAGCUGCAGUCAUUAAGGGCUUGCUACAUGCCAGCUAAACCCUUCAGGUAAACACUUCACAUCUAUUACUUUCUUUUAAUCUUAAUAACAGUCACUUCAGAGAGGCUGGUUAGGAGCCCAAGGUCACAAAAGUUGAUGUCAGGUUUAAGUUCAAUCCAGGUCUGUCUUGACCUCAAAUUUCUAUAACUCUGAAGAUCCCAGGAAAGGAAUUGGGCGGUGGAUCUGAAAGAAGCCAGACAGUGGAGCCCUCAGCCCAGAGGAGGAAGAGAGCAGAUGCUCGGGGUUUGCCUCCCAGGGGCAGGGUUUCCAAGCCAGGGCCCUCAGCGCUGGCCUUGAACUGCCAGUCUGGGGUUGGGGAUUCCUGGGGAAAGGGAUCUGCGGUGAGGUCCCAAUCCCAUAUCCACCUCGGUGGCGGGGACCCUGAGGCAGCGACCACUCCUCCACGCUGAUCCCAGCCUUCCCUUCUUCCAAGAGCCAGACCUGGAGGACUGCAGCUUCCGGUGUCGGGGGACCUCCCCUCAGGAGAGUCUGUCUUCCAUGUCCCCCAUCAGCAGCCUCCCCGCGCUCUUCGACCAGACAGCCUCUGCACCCUGUGGGGGCGGCCAGUUAGACCCGGCGGCCCCAGGGACGACUAACAUGGAGCAGCUUCUGGAGAAGCAGGGCGACGGGGAGGCCGGCGUCAACAUCGUGGAGAUGCUGAAGGCGCUGCACGCGCUGCAGAAGGAGAACCAGCGGCUGCAAGAGCAGAUCCUGAGCCUGACGGCCAAAAAGGAGCGGCUGCAGAUUCUCAACGUGCAGCUCUCUGUGCCCUUCCCUGCCCUGCCUGCUGCCCUGCCUGCCGCCAACGGCCCUGUCCCUGGGCCCUAUGGCCUGCCUCCCCAAGCCGGCAGCAGCGACUCCUUGAGCACCAGCAAGAGCCCUCCGGGAAAGAGCAGCCUCGGCCUGGACAACUCGCUGUCUACUUCUUCUGAGGACCCACACUCAGGCUGCCCGAGCCGCAGCAGCUCGUCGCUGUCCUUCCACAGCACGCCCCCACCGCUGCCCCUGCUCCAGCAGAGCCCUGCCACUCUGCCCCUGGCCCUGCCUGGGGCCCCUGCCCCACUCCCGCCCCAGCCGCAGAACGGGUUGGGCCGGGCACCCGGGGCAGCGGGGCUGGGGGCCAUGCCCAUGGCUGAGGGGCUGUUGGGGGGGCUGGCAGGCAGUGGGGGCCUGCCCCUCAAUGGGCUCCUUGGGGGGUUGAAUGGGGCCGCUGCCCCCAACCCCGCAAGCUUGAGCCAGGCUGGCGGGGCCCCCACGCUGCAGCUGCCAGGCUGUCUCAACAGCCUUACGGAGCAGCAGAGACAUCUCCUUCAGCAGCAAGAGCAGCAGCUCCAGCAACUCCAGCAGCUUCUGGCCUCCCCGCAGCUGACCCCGGAACACCAGACUGUUGUCUACCAGAUGAUCCAGCAGAUCCAGCAGAAACGGGAGCUGCAGCGCCUGCAGAUGGCUGGGGGCUCCCAGCUGCCCAUGGCCAGCCUGCUGGCAGGAAGCUCCACCCCGCUGCUGUCUGCGGGUACCCCUGGCCUGCUGCCCACAGCGUCUGCUCCACCCCUGCUGCCCGCUGGAGCCCUAGUGGCUCCCUCGCUUGGCAACAACACAAGUCUCAUGGCCGCAGCAGCUGCAGCUGCAGCAGUGGCAGCAGCAGGCGGACCCCCAGUCCUCACUGCCCAGACCAACCCCUUCCUCAGCCUGUCGGGAGCAGACGGCAGUGGCGGUGGCCCCAAGGGAGGGACCGCUGACAAAGGAGCCUCAGCCAACCAGGAAAAAGGCUAAAUCCACCCUUACCCCUCAUGACCCCCCAAGUGGAGGGAACAGAUCCUGGCCUGAGGGGUCCUAGCCUGGAGCAGGCGCCUGCGCCCAGACCCUGGAGAGCCUUGACCCAGAGCCUGUGCUGAGGUCCAGGGAGUGUGGGGAGCUCCUGGUGUCGAGGACUGAGACUGAGAGGGGAGCCCCCUCCAUCUGGCCCCCUUCCCUUUCCGCACUGUCCGCUUUGUGAGGCUCAGAGGAAGGACAGUCUGCAAGCCCGCCUAGGAGGUCCACCCCCAGCAAAUGUUUUGAAGGUUCCCCCCGAGAGCAGAGUGGGCCAUGGCAGAAGUAGGGGGUCGGUUGGACCUGUCGCAUGAAAUGGAUCAGCACUUAAAUGGGGAGAAGUGGAGGGAGAGGCCCUGGGCCUGUCCCUGCGGGGAAAUCUUUUAUGGAAGAAGGGCUGGACCCACUUUACCUGCAGUUUCUUCCCAGCUCGGGCAGAUGGCAGAAGGGACCCCUUGGACUUUUUCUCGCCAUCCCUCCCCCCAGCGCAGGGCACAAGCUGAGCUUGUAAAAGCCCACAGAUGUUGGGGGCUGGAGAAGGGGCAGGAGAGCAUCACACUCAGCCCCAGCCUCCUCAACCUCUUGGGGCCCCGUGAUGGGGAGGAGAGGGCAGGUGCAGGGAGGCUCCGGCCUUCCUUGAUGCCCCGCCCUUUGUUUGCACUAUUGGACUUAGGAGUGCCGAGGGUGGGGAGAUGGAGCUGCCCGACUCAGUGUGUGAGUGUGUGUGUGCGUGCCUGUGUGUGUGUGUGUGUGUGUGUAUGUGUCUGUCUGCCUGUCUCUCUCCCCCUGGACCCAGGGCAGCCAAGGGCAGGGAUAGGCGCAGUGGUCAGAUGAAGCAGCGCCAGAGAGGGGACCUCCCAGCUCUUAUUUGCACCCUCCCCACCUCACCAACUUUGGUCCCUCUCUGGGGGCAUGAAUGGUUAACAAACAUCAGAGCAGUACUCCAAUAUUGGAGAGUCACUGGGGGCACGGGGCUUUGAAUCAGGGUAAUGUCCUGCCUUUCCUCCCCUGACCCCACAUGGUCUCAGGGCCCCCUUAGGGCCCCCUACCCCACUGAUAGCUUCCUCCUUCUUCUCUGGCACAAAGGGAGCCCCAGGGCUUGGGGGAGGGCGUAAGGUGGGGGGACAUGCCACUGCUUUUAGCAAAAGCCUCCCUCUCAGAAUUAGCCAGCUUGCCUCCUGCACCCCACCCCCACCAACCAGGGGAGUCACUAAGCUGACUAACAACUGUCCCCUCACCCACCAGCUAUUUCCCCAGGGUAGAGUGGGCAAUUCUCACCUUCAGAGAGUCCCUGCCUGCCCAGGCCCUUGGCACAGAGGCUGAGUGGACAGUCAGGAGAGAGGCGAGAGGCAAGGCGAAGCCUGUUGUCCCUGUUUCAGUUGCACUGGGGUUGGAGCCCAGGGUAGGGGUUUCCAGCUUCCCCAGGCUCCGGCCUUGUCAGUCUCUUUGCAUGUGUGGAUUUUUCUGUGUGUGUUUCUGUUUGGGUUUUUGUUGUUGGGUUUUUUUUUUUUUGUUUUUUUUUAAUAAAGAAAAGAAGAUGUGUAUAUUUUUGGCAACGACAGAAA